CUAGCUUGCUAGGUGGAUUAGUGGCGCACGGGUGAGUAACGCAUAGAUAACAUGCCCUUUAGUUUGGGAUAGCCACUAGAAAUGGUGAUUAAUACCAAAUACUACCCUAUGGGGGAAAGAUUUAUCGCUAAAGGAUUGGUCUAUGUCCUAUCAGCUUGUUGGUGAGGUAAAGGCUCACCAAGGCGAUGACGGGUAUCCGGCCUGAGAGGGUGAACGGACACACUGGAACUGAGACACGGUCCAGACUCCUACGGGAGGCAGCAGUAGGGAAUAUUGCUCAAUGGGCGCAAGCCUGAAGCAGCAACGCCGCGUGGAGGAUGAAGGUUUUAGGAUUGUAAACUCCUUUUGUCAGAGAAGAUCAUGACGGUAUCUCACGAAUAAGCACAA
RNAcentral lists this ribosomal RNA (387 nucleotides) under uncultured Helicobacter sp. RNAcentral's name for it is "bacterial SSU rRNA". It matches the Rfam family "Bacterial small subunit ribosomal RNA", at positions 75 to 495 of the family's 1533-position model. The record is from RNAcentral. Lineage: Bacteria; Pseudomonadati; Campylobacterota; Epsilonproteobacteria; Campylobacterales; Helicobacteraceae.